RNAcentral lists this ribosomal RNA (1195 nucleotides) under Lepocinclis sp. Songdang060709M. Its description in RNAcentral is "partial large subunit ribosomal RNA". It matches the Rfam family "Eukaryotic large subunit ribosomal RNA", at positions 2172 to 2933 of the family's 3401-position model. The record is from RNAcentral. Lineage: Eukaryota; Euglenozoa; Euglenophyceae; Euglenales; Phacaceae.
AGCUGGCUGGUUCCAUGAGGUGACUUCUGCCCAGUGCUCUGAUUGUCAAGGCGAAGAGAUUCAGCCAAGCGCGGGUAAACGGCGGGAGUAACUAUGACUCUCUUAAGGUAGCCAAAUGCCUCGUCAACCAAUUAUUGACGCGCAUGAAUGGAUCAACGAGAUUCCUGCUGUCCCUAGGUGCUGUCCGGUGAACCAACAGCCAAGGGAACGGGCUUGGGCGUGUCAGCGGGGAAAGAAGACCCUGUUGAGUUUGACUCUAGUUUGAUGCUGUGCAGCGACAUGUGGGGUGUAGCAUAGGUGGGAGGCGAGUGCCAGCGGACACUCGGUAAACACCAACCCGCUCGGAGUGACCCAGCUCUCUUGGUUUAUCCAUCCAUCCUUUUUGUGCCAGAACAACGUGCGAAACGGACAGAUCUUGGUUGCAGCAGAGAAGAGGCAGUCGUCGGCAAGUAGUAGCGAGUGCUCGUCGUGGGGCGUGUGGCCUGGGGAACCACACGCCCAAGCAGCGUGUGGCCUGGGGAACCACACGCCCCCGAAGAGAAGAGAAGCCAGAGGUUGUGUUGUUGCUUGAUUGAUCUGAUCGAUCGAACAGCUGUAUGUAUUACCUGGGGAAAACGGAGCAUGUGCUUCCGUCGGUGCGAACCAGCAAUGAAAUACCACUACCUUCACCGUCGCUUUACUCAUCGAGUGGCUUGGGGCCAGCGGCCCAUUUGGACAUCAGCUUCCGCAUGACCUGUGGGGGUUGUGGCUAUAUCCUGCUUCGUGAGACAAACGCAUGGGGUUCAACCCCCGUGCGCGACCCUGUGGGGGAAUUCCUAGACCCCACCCUGUGAUUCGGCGCCUCGGGACAAUGAUCAGUUGGGGAGUUUGGCUGGGGCGGCACGCCUGUUACAGGACAACGCAGGCGUCCUGAAGCAUUGCUCAGAUGGAACAGAAAUCUUGCAUGGAGGAGAAGGCCAAAGGUGCUGCUGAUGCUGCGACUUCCAGUACAAGUCCAAAACGUGCAAGUGUGGCCUUGCGAUCCUUUGGUCAAGCAUUGUGGUUCCGGAUAUUGAAGCCAGAGGUGUCAGAAAAAUUACCACAGGGAUAACUGGCUUGUGGCUGCCAAGCGUUCAAAGCGACGUCGCUUUUUGAUCCUUCGAUGUCGGCUCUUCCUAGCUUCCCACCCGCAGCCGAGUGGAAGAGUUGGAUUGUC